CCGCACCGCUUAAACGCCACCGCUUAAAGGAAAUCUCUCUCUCUCAAAUCCCUAAAAUCGCCGCCGCCAUGGCCAAAAAAUUCCGUCGCUGAAUUCGUCUCUCUCUCUCAAAAAUUCCGCCAUGGCCUAAAAUCGGCGAUCUCAUCGAUCACUGAAUUCGUCGCUGUGUUCAUCGUGGAUCUCAUCUCCUAUCUCCUCUCUGAUAUCAUCUUCGAGCCCAGUCCUCGCCGGAAAUCGAGCCCAGUCCUCGCCGGAGAUUUCUAGGGUUUCAGCUGGUACUCGAUUCAGCUCCGUGCUAUUCAAUUCUGUAAAUGUGACUGUAGACAUAGAGGGGGCGACCACCAUUGCCAAUACCGAUCGAUCUUUCGUAUGUGUGACUCUUGAUUGGUGGCCUGCAGAAAAGUGCAACUAUGGGAUGUGCCCUUGGCAUCAAUCCUCUGUUUUGAACUUGAAGGUGGUGGCCACUCAACAAGAGGAGAUGAAGAGACAACAAGAAGCUCAAGCUACAAGUAUGAUUCAAACAUUUGCAGAUAUGUUGAGUGAAGUAACUGGACGUCCAGUUAGUCCAAGCUUUGUUGACAGGUUUAAAGCGCGUACUAAACUUCCUGAAGAGGCUGCUAGUGUUCUAGAUCAUGAAGAGGCAAGUACCUUUUACACUUCGACAUUUCUUAGCCUUCUUAGCUCUUGAACUGGUUUCUGUAGUUUUUUCUUGACUCGUUUCAGUUACUUCUUCUUUUUCCUCGUUGCUUUCUUCUCGCUCUCCUUUGUGUUCUAGAGAGAUUUCCGGUUUACCAUAUUGCAUGAUAUAGUAAGUUCAGCAUAUUGUAAUGCAAAAACUAAGUACGUUGAGAACAAAUAUCUGCUAAUUUCGGUUCUCUCUGUAU
Molecule: long non-coding RNA, 884 nt
Organism: Asparagus officinalis (garden asparagus)
Lineage: Eukaryota; Viridiplantae; Streptophyta; Magnoliopsida; Asparagales; Asparagaceae
Exons: 3
Source: RefSeq, a predicted model, not a curated record